GGAAGGAUCAUUAGUGAAUAUCAGGGUGCUCUUUUCUGCGGAAGCGAUUAGAGGCCUGACCUCCACUUAUCCUAACACUGUGCACAUUUAAAAAUUGAAGUGGGCCUUAAUUAGCUCGCUACAAUUUUUCAUCUUUAACACUAGUCAAAGAAUGUAAAUAAAACAUAACAAAGAAAAACUUUCAACAACGGAUCUCUUGGCUCUCGCAUCGAUGAAGAACGCAGCGAAAUGUGAUAAGUAAUGUGAAUUGCAGAAUUCAGUGAAUCAUCGAAUCUUUGAACGCACCUUGCGCUCUCUGGUAUUCCGGAGAGCAUGCCUGUUUGAGUGUCAUGAACUCUUCAACCCACCAGUUUCUUGUUAAACUGUGUUGGUGUUUGGUUUCUGAACGUUGCUGGUUCCUCGUGAACGUUAGCUCGUUUAAAAUAUAUUAGCAUCUCAAUUUCGAAACUUGGAUUGACUCAGCGUAAUAGACUAUUCGCUGAGGACACCUUUCAUUAGGUGGCCAUGUUAGAUAACGACUGAUGCUUAUAGCACUCUAUCUAGUCAUUCUUUUAAGAUUAGACCUCAGAUCAGGCAGGAUUACCCGCUGAACUUAAGCAUAUCAAUAAGCGGAGGAAAAGAAACUAACAAGGAUUCCCCUAGUAACGGCGAGUGAAGCGGGAAGAGCUCAAAUUUGUAAUCUGGUACCUUCGGUGCCCGAGUUGUAAUCUCGAGAAGUGUUUUCCGCGCCAGACCGCAUACAAGUCUGUUGGAAUACAGCGUCAUAGUGGUGAGAACCCCGUACAUGAUGCGGAUGCCUGGUGCUCUGUGAUACACUUUCGAAGAGUCGAGUUGUUUGGGAAUGCAGCUCAAAUUGGGUGGUAAAUUCCAUCUAAAGCUAAAUAUUGGCGAGAGACCGAUAGCGAACAAGUACCGUGAGGGAAAGAUGAAAAGCACUUUGGAAAGAGAGUUAACAGUACGUGAAAUUGUUGGAAGGGAAACGCUUGAAGUCAGACUUGCUAGUUGGAGUUCAGCCGCAAGGCGUAUUCUUCGAUGUGCAGGCCAGCAUCAGUUUUCCGGGGUGGAAAAGGGUUUUGAGAAGGUAGCAGUUUCGGCUGUGUUAUAGCUCUUAACUGGAUUCAUCCUGGGGGACUGAGGAACGCAGUACGCUUUUUGCAAGGCUCUCGAGCUUUUCGUACUUAGGAUGCUGGUGGAAUGGCUUUAAACGACCCGUCUUGAAACACGGACCAAGGAGUCUAACAUGCUUGCGAGUAUUUGGGUGUUAAACCCGGAUGCGUAAUGAAAGUGAAUGUAGGUGGGAUCCGCAAGGUGCACCAUCGACCGAUCUGGAUUUUUUAAGAUGGAUUUGAGUAAGAGCAAUUAUGUUGGGACCCGAAAGAUGGUGAACUAUGCCUGAAUAGGGCGAAGCCAGAGGAAACUCUGGUGGAGGCUCGUAGCGGUUCUGACGUGCAAAUCGAUCGUCAAAUUUGGGUAUAGGGGCGAAAGACUAAUCGAACCAUCUAGUAGCUGGUUCCUGC
This 1517-nucleotide unclassified non-coding RNA is filed under the name uncultured fungus. RNAcentral describes it as "sequence contains 18S rRNA gene, ITS1, 5.8S rRNA gene, ITS2, 28S rRNA gene". The stretch from base 560 to 1517 matches the Rfam family "Eukaryotic large subunit ribosomal RNA", at positions 1 to 961 of the family's 3401-position model. The record is from RNAcentral. Lineage: Eukaryota; Fungi.